CCCCUGGUGGCUUAGAGGUUAAAGUGUCUGCCUCCAAUGCAGGAGACCUGGGUUCGAUCCCUGGGUUGGGAA
Molecule: transfer RNA, 72 nt
Filed under: Bos taurus (domestic cattle)
Lineage: Eukaryota; Metazoa; Chordata; Mammalia; Artiodactyla; Bovidae
Also listed under: 3 other names
Rfam family: tRNA
About the family: Transfer RNA (tRNA) molecules are approximately 80 nucleotides in length.
Source: Rfam by way of RNAcentral